Molecule: long non-coding RNA, 2911 nt
Filed under: Homo sapiens (human)
Lineage: Eukaryota; Metazoa; Chordata; Mammalia; Primates; Hominidae
Description: HSALNT0135296
Source: RNAcentral
CUCACCUCAAGUGACCUACCUGUCUAGGCCUCCCCAAAUGCUGGGAUUACAGGACUCAGCCACCACGUCCAGCUACAUAACUUUAUUAUAGAAACCCCUGAACACUUUACAUCAAAAAGCAUCACUCACUCUAACCCUGUCAGAGCCCCCCACCCUGCUCUGCUUCUCUUCAUAACACUUAAUACCAUUCAGCACUAUGCAUUUUCUGGUUUUUUCCUGUCCUUCCUCACUAACACGUAAGCUUGAUAGAAGGAGAAGCUGUAUGUGUUUUGCUCAGUGUUGAUUCUCCACCACCCAGAACACCUCCUAGCAUAAGGUCAGCACUCAGUAAGUUGCUGAAGGAAAGAAGGGAUGGGUUUGAGCAGAGUGGAGAUGGAGAUCAGCUGAUGAACUUUUGAGAUCUAGUAGGUGGCAGAAUAGUCAGAUUGUGAUGAAUUGUUGGGUAUUGAGCAGGAAAAGGGAGAUGAAGGAAAUAAGAGGGCUCUAGGAGGCUCUCCAAGUUUCUGCCCUACACACUGAGUUGAUGGUAUACUGUUCCCUGAAAUAGAGAAGAUGGGAAAAGGAUUUGAUUAAGGACAGGGACAGAGAAGGAUAAUUUCAACUUUGAGGAAGUUGAGAUUCAGGUUAUUAGGACAUAUUCAACUGAAGAUAUCCUGGAGGUAGCUGGCUCUAGAACUAUUAACUGAGUUUGUGCUGAACACUCAUCUCUGUUAGGUACAAAACUGCAUGGAAAGGAGAUGAAGAGAGACUGUAUAGUAUUGAGUCAUUUUCCAGGGAAAAGCUAAAUCCUUUUCACCCCUUCAGGUGAACUUACCAAACCAGCUGCUACUCAGAAGCUCACAGCCUUUCAGAAAAAGCUCUGCAGGAAGCAUAAAAUGAAGACAAUGCAAAGGCCUCUCCCAUAAGCAAGCCUGGGUACAACGAGCCUAAGCCAGUACCAACACCCCAAUCCUCAGCUCGUCAUUAUUUCACCAUGGAGUUCUGGAUCCUAAUCUGCCCAGCUGCCAUGGAUUCCACAGGAGAUUCUUAUCAGGAUGAGAAAAGCAGUGAGCUUUCAGCCUGUCACUCUAUUAUAUACAACCAGAAGCCUGCUCAGGAACGAAGAUUACUCUGGGUAGCAGAAUGAAACUCCAUUAAAAACAGGAUUGAAAGGCUGGGUCUUACAGAGGAGAUCAGAUCAUGAGGACUCUCCCCUCAUGAAUGAAUGAAAGAAUGGAUUAAUGAAUUAAUGGGUUAUCAUAGAAGGGAAACUGGUGGCUUCACAACAAGAUGAGAGAUCUGACCUCGAAUAUUUGCCUGCUCAGCCUCAUUGCCAUGUGAUGCCAUGUCCUGUGCCACCUCUGGACUCUGCAGGGAGUCCCCACCAGCAAGAAGGCUCUCACCAGACAUAGCUCCUCGACCUUGGAUUUCUCAGCCUCCAGAACGGCUCUACAGAUUGAUUUUAAAGCCACCUACACUGCAGUUUCUUCAAUUUAGCUCUACUUAUCUGAUUAUGCAUCACAAAAGGAAGCAGAAAUUCAGCUUAAUUGUGAAGCCAUUGCAGCAGAACCAAGCAAAUGAUAGAAAACCUCAUGAUCACAGACAGAAUCACACUCACUGAUGCUGAAUGAAAUGACAGACAUCCGUCCCUCUGCAGAAGCCUGAAUACUGAUCACAGAAUUUUACGUUCUGACAUUGUGUGUCUCUUGUCAGAUAGUGUUGUCCUUUACUUUCCCCGCUUCAGUUGUGAAAGUCAGGUGCAGUCUCAUACUAUUUUUUUUUAAAAUUCAUUAUGACAAGUAAAUGGUCUCUGGGAAAGCGAACAUCCUCAUCCACUGUUUACUGAAACUGUAACACUGUCAUGAGUGAAGAAUGAAACAUGUUUAAUGUAAAGAGUUUGCAGAAUGAUGAUCAGAGGAAAAGAACAUUAAACAGAAGAAACAUAAAUAUAAGAAUGGGGAGAGAGAUGUAAUCAAAAGACAGCUUGUAAGGGAGGUUACAUGCUGCCAUUUGCUUUUCAGCUGUGUUUUCCAUAGUGGGACAGAUCUUGCUCUUUGUUACUUCUACUUUUGCUUUUUCCCAUCUGCAAAGAGGGAAACAAUCUGCUUUUGAAUCUCUGGUGAAGCAUCACCUAGAAGCUGCUGCCAAAGCUUGAUAUCCAGAGUGCUCUAAAACAUAGUGUGAUGUGCCCUUUCAUCUUAAAGGAUUAUUUUUGGCUGGGCAGACCUCUCUAAGAUAGAUUAUAAGGAGCUGGCUUUUAAAGGCAAUGAAAACUGCUUCUGUAUUCACAUUUACCCCCUCCCUCCAUUAUCUGAGGUAUGUAAAUAAUGUUUUAAAGUGGUGAUGUGAGAAUAUUAAUUAUGUUUUCAUUUCUUGUUCCUGUUACCAUGUAAUAUAUCUUCAAGUGCUGAGAAAACAUCUUACAAAACCAUUAAAGAUUCCAAAUGUUCAUACAUAAAUGGGUGUUAAAAGCGGAUGCCUGAGUUACAUACAAUUAAUGAUACACAGACACGUAUCAUACAUACAUGGACAUGUACCACUGGAAAAAUCAAGUCUACAAAGAAUAAAAAUAUUUCUGUCAGUGAGUAAAAGGCUAAUAAUGUAAUGAUAUCCAAAGGAAAUGCAGGGACACAUAUGGAUGAGCUCGGAUUCCACAUAUUGGGUGACUAAGAAUGAAUUAGCAUAAAUUAUAAAUUUGUUCCAAUUAUAGAAGGUAAUUAUCGGAGACCAGCUUACAGCAUUAUCAAAAUUAAAACAGCAAAGUGCAUCUGUAUUCCAAGUAGAUGCCAUUGAGUUAAUCGUCCUGAAAAAAAAACCAAAAAGACUCUACACUUAUUCAUCUUCUAUUCCUUUGAUUACUAGACACUCUAUCCAAGUUUCCCCUCAGCUGACAGACACAAAGUCACCAUGAAGGAAGAAAAACAUUUUGAAA